This is a non-coding RNA of Dama dama (fallow deer), 73 nucleotides long. NCBI's taxonomy places the organism in Eukaryota, Metazoa, Chordata, Mammalia, Artiodactyla, Cervidae. The record is from the annotation of a RefSeq genome assembly.
UCCCUGGUGGCCCGGUGGUUAGGAUUUUGCACUUCCAAUGCAGGGGGCCCAGGUUCAAUCCCUGGUCAGGGAG